UAUACGACUCUCGGCAACGGAUAUCUCGGCUCUCGCAUCGAUGAAGAACGUAGCGAAAUGUGAUACUUGGUGUGAAUUGCAGAAUCCCGUGAACCAUCGAGUCUUUGAACGCAAGUUGCGCCCGAGGCCUUUCGGUUGAGGGCACGCCUGCCUGGGCGUCACGC
This 164-nucleotide ribosomal RNA is filed under the name Lilium brownii var. viridulum. RNAcentral describes it as "5.8S ribosomal RNA". It matches the Rfam family "5.8S ribosomal RNA". From Rfam's summary of the family: 5.8S ribosomal RNA (5.8S rRNA) is a component of the large subunit of the eukaryotic ribosome. It is transcribed by RNA polymerase I as part of the 45S precursor that also contains 18S and 28S rRNA. Functionally, it is thought that 5.8S rRNA may be involved in ribosome translocation. The record is from RNAcentral. Lineage: Eukaryota; Viridiplantae; Streptophyta; Magnoliopsida; Liliales; Liliaceae.